CAGAGGGGGCAAGCGUUAUUCGGAAUUAUUGGGCGUAAAGAGCGUGUAGGCGGCCAGGUAGGUCUGGUGUGAAAACUCGAGGCUCAACCUCGAGAGGUCAUCGGAAACCAUCUGGCUAGAGUCCGGAAGAGGAGAGUGGAAUUCCCGGUGUAGCGGUGAAAUGCGCAGAUAUCGGGAAGAACACCUAUGGCGAAGGCAGCUCUCUGGGACGGUACUGACGCUGAGACGCGAAAGCGUGGGGAGCGAACAGG
RNAcentral lists this ribosomal RNA (251 nucleotides) under uncultured bacterium. RNAcentral's name for it is "partial 16S ribosomal RNA". It matches the Rfam family "Bacterial small subunit ribosomal RNA", at positions 526 to 776 of the family's 1533-position model. The record is from RNAcentral.